AGAAAUACCAAUACGGGGCUACUGCUCUGUAAUUGGCAUGGGGGCGACCUUCACCCUCGCCCGAGUACCCAUUGGAGGGCAAGUCUGGUGCCAGCAGCCGCGGUAAUUCCAGCUCCAAUAGCGUAUAUUAAACUUGUUGCAGUUAAAAAGCUCGUAGUU
This 159-nucleotide ribosomal RNA is filed under the name Babesia bovis. RNAcentral's name for it is "partial small subunit ribosomal RNA". It matches the Rfam family "Eukaryotic small subunit ribosomal RNA", at positions 473 to 635 of the family's 1831-position model. Lineage: Eukaryota; Apicomplexa; Aconoidasida; Piroplasmida; Babesiidae. The record is from RNAcentral.